RNAcentral lists this transfer RNA (71 nucleotides) under Pirellulales bacterium. Its description in RNAcentral is "tRNA-Gln". It matches the Rfam family "tRNA". From Rfam's summary of the family: Transfer RNA (tRNA) molecules are approximately 80 nucleotides in length. Their secondary structure includes four short double-helical elements and three loops (D, anti-codon, and T loops). The record is from RNAcentral. Lineage: Bacteria; Pseudomonadati; Planctomycetota; Planctomycetia; Pirellulales.
UCGGGGAUCGGCUAACGGUAGGCUGCCUGGCUUUGAACCAGGUGGUGGAGGUUCAACUCCUUCUCCCCGAA